GAUGAAGAACGCAGCGAAAUGCGAUAAGUAAUGUGAAUUGCAGAAUUCAGUGAAUCAUCGAAUCUUUGAACGCAUCUUGCGCUCCUUGGUAUUCUGAGGAGCAUGCCUGUUUGAGUGUCAUUAAAUUCUCAACUACACUGACUUUGAAUUGGUGUGGCUUGGAUUUGGGGGGAAAAUUGUUGUGGGCUUUUUGUAUAGUCUGCUCCCCUGAAAUUGAUUAGCGGUACCUUUGUGGAACUGUCUACAGGUGUGAUAAUUAUCUACAUCUUAGACAUCUGCUGGAAUGCUGCUCUCUAAACCUUACUUGUAUUGACAAUCUUGACCUCAAAUCAGGUAGGACUACCCGCUGAACUUAAGCAUAUCAAUAAGCGGAGGA
Molecule: unclassified non-coding RNA, 376 nt
Filed under: soil metagenome
Description: partial contains 5.8S ribosomal RNA, internal transcribed spacer 2, and large subunit ribosomal RNA
Rfam family: 5.8S ribosomal RNA (bases 1-120)
Source: RNAcentral